AAACCUCCAUUGAGUGCAGUCAUCAAGGUUGCAGAUUGUUUUCUCGACUCAGAGAGAGAGAGAGCGAGAGAGAGCGAAGAAUCAAAUCGUAGCUUUCGGACAAACUUUUCACUCUUAAUUUCGUAACUCAGGCGAGUAGCUAGCAGAAAGAAGAACAAGAAUGAACGAGCUUGAAAAAAUUCAUGGUACGUAACUCGGAGAAAAAGAAGAGGGGACGGGAAGCUGCUACGUACGGUUUCGUUUUGAUUCUGCGAUGUCGUUCUUUCUUUACUCCGCUGAAAGAAAGUGAGAUAGAGAGAAAGCUGUUUCUGGUCCUGGGAUAACAGAUAUUCGUUUUGCUCAGGGGAGGAUGAGUGCAGUAUCGAAACAAAUUGACUGAGCUUUUUUGGGUGAUACUUGAUUUGUAUGAGAUGGCUAUGGUUCAGGGGCUUGGUUGUCUACCUUGAUUGUCUUUCUCACAGCCAGAAAAAGAGAGGAAUACCUUGGGUUGGUGGAAGGGUUGCCAACAUAAGUGCAGGAAGAAUUGCUGGACAACAGUCUCCGGGAAGGAUGAGCUUUGUAAUGGCAGUGACAUUGAUAAGCACACCUACUAGCAUGAGCAGAAAGCAAUCCUAUGGAGAAGGAUGGCUCGAUGGUGAAUGCUACUGGGUUAAAUACUUCAAAUACAGUAUUUACAAUAUGAAUUGCAUUGGGCGAGGUUUUUCAAGUAGACCGACCUGAUGCAUUGAAACUACUGGGAUCUGAAAGAUAGAUCAUUCAAAUCUCUCAAAGACGGAAGAGGGUCAGUUUGUUUGUGCUCAAAAGAAGGAACUUUUUGUGGUUCAAGGAAUUAGGAUUUUGGGGUGACAUGGUACAGAAGCUGAUAUAUCAGAUAUACAAGAACCCUCAUCCAAAUAUUGUUGUUUUAACAGUUGGAGCAGAUUUGGUUGGAUGGAGCUGUCAACUAGAACAAAAGAAGGCAGUUUUGGAAGUAGUUUGGAGGGAAACAAAAGAUGAGGAAAGAUGAUGACUACAGUUGGAAUCACCGGGUAGAAAGUUACAAGUUCAUUUGGUUGCAAAUGAAUAUGAGAUUAACAGGUAUAAGCAUAGAAAGCCAAAUUCAUCAAAUGGUAGAACAAAGAUCAGGCAAUUGGGUUAUGGAAUGGGAGGUUGAAGACGGUCAAAAUCAGAUUGGAGGUACAAGAGAUAUAUUUCUCAAUUUGUAUCAGAUCUUUUGUAAUAGCAAGAAACUACCAUGCUUUAUUAAUUGAAUUGUAUAGGAUUAAAAGAUCCUAUCCUUGGGUUAAUAAUAUUUUCUUGAUCUUCUAAACUUCUUCAUUUCAA
Molecule: RNA transcript, 1323 nt
Organism: Rosa chinensis
Lineage: Eukaryota; Viridiplantae; Streptophyta; Magnoliopsida; Rosales; Rosaceae
Exons: 13
Source: RefSeq, a predicted model, not a curated record